Molecule: small RNA, 27 nt
Filed under: Bombyx mori (domestic silkworm)
Lineage: Eukaryota; Metazoa; Arthropoda; Insecta; Lepidoptera; Bombycidae
Description: ovarian small RNA-31805
Source: RNAcentral
UGACGUACAGGUCGCUUUGCUAUAAUA